Molecule: long non-coding RNA, 7105 nt
Organism: Bombus huntii
Lineage: Eukaryota; Metazoa; Arthropoda; Insecta; Hymenoptera; Apidae
Exons: 3
Source: RefSeq, a predicted model, not a curated record
AUUGGAAUGUUUUUUCUUUUUAAAUAGUAUUCACACGUAUAUUCGCUUUUUUUUUCUUUUCAAGGUACUUAAUGGUAUAGACCUAUUUAACUUAUUAACAAAUACGAUUAAAUGCUAAUAUAUGCGCGUUUUAUGUUAUUUUUAUUAGUUACUUAAAACACUGUUCUUGUCAGCCAAAUAUGGGUAGAUUUUAAAAGGGAAGAGACUGAAGCGUGAAAACGUUUAUUUUAAUUAUACAUGCGUAAUUAUGAAGAGGAUGAGGGUUUUGGAAAUCUGCCUUUGUGUUGUAAAAUGUUCGAACUAUUAUUCUUGGUUAAACACGUGCUGUUUUAACUCUACAAAAUGUUUGUUACGUUUCGGUAUUUACGCAUUUCAAUGAAUUCUACGCGCAAGAUCUGGAAGGAGUUAUACAUUUAGAAAUUUUAAGAUAAUACGUACAUGUGAUUUAUAAAUAAUAGGAAAAAUUAAUACAAUACAAUUAGAACAUAUAGACAUAUAAUUAGUACAUUACAUAUAGUAUGAAUUAUAUAUGAUACAUAAUAUUAUUAAAUAAUAUAAAAUAUUAUGAAAAAAUUACAGUUUAAUAAAAAGUAUCAGUUAUGCUAAUUAUAUACUGUGUCAAAUUUGUCUUCUAAUAUGCGUCGUUACUAUAAUGGUUAAUAAUUUUAAUUAUUUCCUACUUAAUUUUACAAGGGUGCUUGACGUGUAUGUUAACCGUUGAAUGUAAUUCACGUUUCGCGAAAGUCACGCUGCAACCUUUUUUGGUACAAGGUUCUCCAGACUGCAGGUCAAGUAAAAUAAUUCAAAGUUGUAUGUCGCCGUGUAGACUGUGUCGUUGUGAAUAAAGGCGUACUGGUAGCAUAUUUAAGCCGAAGGAAUACGAUGUUUAAAUUGAAAGCUGCGCCUAGAAAAUUGCGAGAUAACAGUAGAAACCGUCUUUUGACAAAUUUUUAUUAACAUCGUUAUACUUUUCCAGACUUGAUUUAUUCAUAACUGGAGGGUCGCUGACUCGAGCGAAAGAAAAAUAGGUACACUUGUGUUUAAGUAAAGAGGAACGCUAAAUACUGGAAUUUCAAACGACGGCGAGAAUACUCUUCCACUUUAUUUUUUCAACAUUAAGAAAACCAUGAGAUAUAAGUUCGUUUCUCGUAAAAGUAGUCAAAUUAAAAAUCGAUUAGAUGCAAAUUUUUAAUGCUAAUGUUAUCCCAUUGAUGAAGCUGCAUAAAUUUUGUAAUACGAAUUGAAAGAGUAUGCUAUGAGGCUUAUAGAAAUACUUGGAAAAAUGCUGUUGACAGUUUGUUUAGCAGCUAGCUCUAGCGUACUAAUUGUUAAAAUUCAGCGCGUAUUCCAUAACUUAUGGUUACUAUGCGAUCAUAUAUCUACUACGCUAAACCCGACAAUACAUUUCUUUGCUAUUAAAUACUACUACUAGUAACUGCUUUACUUACUACUAAGAAUCGUAGCAUACUUGUCUGUGUAUGUUGAGCAUUCAUUAUGUUUAAUGGAUCAAUGACACGAACGAGAUUAACCUGCAUUGCUUGUUUUAGAAAGAUAAUGAGAUCAAAGGAGAAAGGAAAUUUCCCUGAUGUGGAUGACGUUGCAUCCUCGUGGAUUGAUGCAUUUCGCUUUUCGCAACCUGCACUAUUCUUGCCACAUACGUAUACAUAUAUAAUCUAAUAAUAAAACUAUACUGUGUCUGACUGUAAACCACACAGACUUUUCCAUGAUACUAUUAUUAAAUUUAAUAGCAAAUGAGUCAACCAGUAUGAAGUUCGCUAUAAAAUCGACUAAAAGUAAUUUGAUGAACGACGAAGAGCUUGAAAGUUUCUUAUGUUUCUUCGUAGCAAAUACAGUAAGUUUCGCAAUUACUUUACUUUAUCAAUAAUUUGUAUAUAUCUCUAUAUACUGUUAAAGUAAUAAUAUAAUCUUUUAUUAAAUACAAAAUUUAUAUAUAACAGAAUAAACAUUUUAUAUGUGACAGAAUAAUUUGAAGUAUUAACGCACACCGCUCUAUUCUCUUAUACAUCUCAAACAGGAAUGAAUUUGUUUUAUUGUACAUUCAUUCAUUCGACACAUACGUGAUACGCUUGUCCCAUGGCGUUUUUCAUUUGUCUUCUUCUUUUUCAUUCCUCGCUCGUACAAUGCAGAUAUGCACAUAUUUAUUUUAUAACAUAUACAUACAUCAUAAAUAUACAGCGUCAAUAAAUUAUACCGAAAGUGAAGGAUGCAGUUUAUUGAAAUAAAACUUGGUUUUUGUGUAAGGUAUAGUAACCAGGCAUGCGAACAACUCUGAAAUUUUAGGAUAGUAAUCUUCUUCCAGAAAGUAUUAAAUUUUAAGCCGUUAAUAGACCGCAGCGGUAACGAAUUGCCACGUUUAAACUAAUAUGCUCUUCACGAUUUUAUCAUUAAAAGAGGAUUCGAAGCAUCGAGUCAGUAGAAUGUCAGUUUAUAUCUUAAAACAAGUAUAAAAUACGGUAAAAAGUUUCAAGCUUUCACCGAAGCGUUAAUCAAGCGAAUGUUAGUUGGAUGUUACUUUCUUUUGCACUUGUAAAUAUCGCUGAGCAUCAACGCCGAGCGUUGUAAAAGCAUCGAUCACGGAGGAAGUAAAUAGAAUUCGGUGAACGCGAAACGAUUCCAGGUGGAUGUGUUUAAUAAGAGCGUGUACAGUAAUAAGAGCCAUUUGGAGCGGAUGAAAUAUCGUGGAAUUGAUAUUCUAGCGUAUCGAUAUCGCAUUAGCGGCAUCUAAACGAAAGAAGAUAUCUUCUCUAUAGCGCUCGUGUUAUUAAAUUAAAGAUUUAUAAUUGAAGAUUGCGAUCGUUUACGCAUUUGUAGAGAAUUUCUGAUAGAAAUCGCAAUAAUUAUGUACAUUUUUUAGAUAUUUUUGUAUUAAUAUUAAUGAUACCACAUAAUACUGUAAUGCACGUUUGAUUGUAUAAUUACUGCAAUAUUAACUGCAUAAAGUAAUAAUAAAAUACUAUAAACAACAAUGAUAAUAAAAAGCUAUUUUUAUACCGAUAUCAAUCGUAAAUAAAAUAUAAUAAUAGUUAGACGUAGGAAAAUGUACUUCCUGAAACGGAGGUAUAAUUUUUAUCGAGUAUUAAAGUUUGAACGAAAAAGUUUCUUAACGAAAUUGUUUCAGAAUCGACACUAAAAAUAUCAGCAACAAUUUCAUGAAAAAUAGUGAGAUGCAUUUUUCAUUCAUUAAGCGGGAGAUUACGUUUUGUUAAAUAUGCCAAAUUACACGAAACAACUAAUUUGAUACAGAACCGUAUUCAUUACCUAAAUCAAUUAUUAUAUUCUCAUCGUAUUCUACGCUAUUGUUUUAAAGUGCAAAAACUUCUAAGAUGCGCAUUAUUAUGUGUAAUUUGUUCGUGUGUGUCUUAUUUGGAAAAAGUGUCACAAAAGAGCUGCUGAAGAUAUUAUGUAAAUCAGCAUCUGUAGGAAAUAUUACGUAAGUAUUAGGACGGUACGCUGCUUUGUGGAAAUUUAAGGCUGGUCAUUUUUCAUUGGAAAGAAGCCGAGAGAAAAAGCCGGGAAACGCCAUCGAACGUAAUGUUUGUAAAAAUAUUACCAGAAAUAAUGACGGACAAAGUGUGUCACACGGUUCGAGUGAGAAAAGCAAGGAAGAUGAACGAAUAAAUUCCGCAUGAGUUAAACGAUAUGCAAAAGCUUGGACGAAUAGAUAAAGCUAUCAAAAUGAUAAAGAAAUGAACAGCAACAUAUAGAUUUUUAAAUCUUGUGGCAACGAGCUGAUCAUAUGCAUAAUCGAAAAUAUCAACAAAGGAGAGUAUAAUAUGAAUAAUAGAGAAGAAGCUUACGAUGACUCUAUUUUGAUGGCGAUUCGCGGGAUUUCUUUAGUUCUAUUUCUCACAAUUUCAGGUUACUCGAAGCCGAAACGAGGAAACAGCUAAAGGAAGAUGAAAAUGUAAACAAGUGAAACGAAAUGAAGAUGUAAACAACUAAAUGGAACGAGUGCAGAAUUAAUAGAAAAGCAGAAGUAGAAAAUGGAAGUGAAUCCUGCUGCACUACAACGCAAUAGCAUAUACGCGAGCAAUUUUUCAAUGGAUACAUCGUCUGGAAAUAAAAUGAAAAGUAAUUGCGAAAGGAGCGUUAGAGAAGUCGUUAAAUCCUGGAAUUGUUAAAAUCUCGUCUGUAUCGAAGGCGACUUUAUCCCUUCAUCUUAACGUAGCCCGAUAAGUUACUGACUUGAUAUGAUAAAAAUUAUAAUAGCAAUAAUAGCCAAUGAUGUGUUGCAACUUCGUCAUGUUUGACGUGCCAAUUUACCGCGUGUACACGCUCGUGGUAAAUUGUUUCGCCAGUAAAAAGAGCGACGAUGUACAUAAUUGCACGCGAAGCACGUAUGAUUUUUCACGAUCGUGCACCGUACAACGAACAGUGACGUGACAAUGAGCGUGACGUGCAUUGCUGAUCUUUAUUAAAAAAGCUAAUCCCGUAAUGCAAGUCGUUGGCCUGUAUCGCGUAAUUAAGAAACACGCGUGUUGAAAUCGGAGGAUUUGCAAGUGGGUAAGCUUAAGAACGGUAGAGGCAAUUCCUUUCUAUAGAAAGAGGCAACAUUUCUUUUCGCUCAAUUUAUUGCACAACAUACAUAUAUUGAUAUAUGUGAUAAUUUAUUAACGCAAUUAUUGACUGUGAAUUUUGAUACUUUUUAUUACAACAGGUUUUUCACAUUCUAUACAUUAUACGUUAUAAACUAUUAGAGAAUGUCUUAAUAAAUGCAGGAAGUAAUUUAGAUUUUCAUUAACUGUACCUUACACAAUAUAUAGCUGAUAGAAGUAUUUGAAUACUUAUAGAAAUCUUUAAAAAUCAUAUUUAAAAAAUUGUAUGAAUAUAUUCUGUGCAUUUCACAACAUCUUGCAAUUUCAUUAGCAGCGAAAUGGAUUCUAGCCACUAUCGUCAUUAUAUUAAUACGGUUUGAAGCAAUUUCUGGGAAUAUGUAUACACAGAAGAUAUUUAUUGCAAGUAUACGUAUAUAUAGCAGAGACUAUAAGAUUACUUAACCGUCAUUUUCGCAAGAUGAUGUGUCCCUCGGCUGUCAAAUUGACACAGUGGUAACGCAUCGAUGAAACGAAAAGACAAGUAAUUCAUUUUUCUCUUUGUCGUUCACACGCAUUCGCACUAAUCCUAACGUUCCUUCACAGCUGUCAUAUUUCAAAGGCAAAAUGCUUUACAUCGUUUCAUAAAUGACAAUGAACAAAAGAAUCUUUUACUGAAAAAGUAUAUGAAAUUGAUACGAGGGACUAAACGCGAGGGUUAAACAUCAGUGAAUUAUCCAUUGUAUUAAUAAGCCUUAAUAUUCAGUGGGACCAUUUUAACACUUAUUGUAUACAUAUCUAUUAGGUUGUUCGAAAAGUUUCUUUCGUUUUAUGAGGAAAUAAUAGACGCGCAAUGUUAUUUGUUUUAUAUUAUUUCGUCGAAUUACGUACGAUCCAUCUUGUUCUGUUGAGACAAACAGCACGAUAUUUCACAGACUUGGUUUCACGUUUGUAUGAAGGUGCAUUGUUGUAAAAAACACGUUUGCGAAAGAAAGACAUUUUUCGGACAAUCUAAUAAAUCGAUUUCAAAUUUUGCAAAUUACGCUAUUUUAUUUAACACGUGCAAUGCAUACACGCAUAAAAGUUUUCAGACUACCAAUAAGUGUUCAAAUAUGUUCUCGAGCCACUGUCUUACAUCGAAGAUAAUAUCGAUGAAUCGUCAGUUUCUCAUGGAGAUUACAAUAUUCUAAGUAACGUAUGUCCGUCUAAUUCAAUUUUACGAUGCACUGCUGGAAAUUUAUAGGUUGUAAAAGGAAUGAGGAAUAAGUUUUAGUAACGCAGAGAUUGCAUGUUUCAACGUUCAGCGGGGUAGAGUAACAUGGUUAUACGAGACUGUUCUUAAUUGCGAAACGUGUAAAUCUGUAGUUCUGAAGUAUGUGUUUGUUGGUUUCUGAUCGACGUAUGGAAACGGUUAACCCGGUUACCAUGCACACUGAUCUGCAGACGAAUUAAAUCUGUAUACUUCGAAUCCGUGUGAGUGCGACAAAUGAUUUCAAAAUAUUCGAAAGAUCGCUUUAUUAUGUUGUGCAGAGAGGAGGUAGUCUUUGCGUAGAAGAGAGUUCACUUCGUGUAAAAUUCUAUGAAUGAAAAAAAUCUCUUCUAGGUGUUGCAACAUCGUGUUAGACGGUCCUUCUGUGGAAAGUCGACAUCACACAGCCAGACUUCUCUCUCUCUCUCUUUCUCUCUUUCUGCCCGGAAGCAUUGUUUGUCUGGGAUGUUCUCCCAUUGGCGGUCAAAAAUCAAGGGAGAAAGUAUGCCAUAAUUGGCCACAAAUACAUACCUAUGAUUCAAUACGGCAAUUGGCAUACGAUUUCCUAUCUGCGUGGAUCUCGUGUUUUGACAUUGAUGACUGGAAUUCUGUGUCCCAUAGCGUACGUAUAUAUACAGAAUUCUAUGAUACAUAUCACAGAAUUAUCAUAAUUUGCAUAUGUUGUACAUAUUUAUUUGCUUGUAUUUUCAUAUUACAUUAUUUGUAUUAUUACAUUAUAUUACAUGUAUAUACAGGGUGGUUGGUAACUGGUGGUACAAGCGGAAAGGGGAUGAUUCUACGCGAAAAAGGAAGUCGAAAAUAUAGAAUAACAAUUUUUUUUAAUUUUUUUUUUUUAAUUUUUCCAUCGAGACAACGAUCUACAGUGAGAUCCGUUAUAACGAGACAUGAUAAGGUGUACGCGUACCGAGCGAAAAUUCAAAGUCGGUUUUCUCGAACACAAAGGCUCAAACGAAAAACUUUUAUUCUAUAUUUUCGACUUCUUUUUUCGCGUAGAAUCACCCCCUUUCCGCUUGUACCACCAGUUACCAAUCACCCUAUAUAUAAACAAAACUGAAUAUUAUAUAGGAUCGACGUUCGUUUUAACGCAUACAGGACGAGUGUACUACAAUUGAACAGGGACUUUUUCCUACGUAAAAAAAUAAGUGGAAAAUAUGCAAUAAAAUUUUGCCAUAUGACGUUUGGUUUCUGAAAAAAUCGAGUUUGAAUAUUAUAUAAUUUUUUAUUAAUUACUACUUGAUUAAGUGAUAUAAUUAAUACUUGGUUAAGUAUCGAUUAGGUAUGA